UAGGGAAUAUUGCACAAUGGAGGAAACUCUGAUGCAGCGACGCCGCGUGAGUGAUGAAGGACUUCGGUUCGUAAAGCUCUGUCGUAUGGGAAUAAGAAAGUGAAUGUACCAUGCAAGAAAGGAUCGGCUAACUUCGUGCCAGCAGCCGCGGUAAGACGAGGGAUCCUAGCGUUGUUCGGAAUCAUUGGGCGUAAAGCGGAUGUAGGUGGCUUUGUAAGUCAGGUGUGAAAGCCCCGGGCUCAACCCGGGAAGUGCAUUUGAUACUGCGAAGCUUGAGUGCUAGAGAGGUUACUAGAAUACCUGGUGUAGUGGUGAAAUACGUAGAUAUCAGGUGGAAUACCGGAGGCGAAGGCGGGUAACCAGCUAGACACUGACACUCAGAUCCGAAAGUGUGGGGAUCAAACAGG
RNAcentral lists this ribosomal RNA (407 nucleotides) under uncultured bacterium. Its description in RNAcentral is "bacterial SSU rRNA". It matches the Rfam family "Bacterial small subunit ribosomal RNA", at positions 355 to 776 of the family's 1533-position model. The record is from RNAcentral.